UACGUAGGGUGCAAGCGUUGUCCGGAAUUAUUGGGCGUAAAGAGCUCGUAGGCGGUUUGUCGCGUCUGCUGUGAAAACUCGGGGCUCAACUCCGAGCUUGCAGUGGGUACGGGCAGACUAGAGUGCGGUAGGGGAGAGCUGGAAUUCCUGGUGUAGCGGUGGAAUGCGCAGAGUAUCAGGAGGAACACCGGUGGCGAAGGCGGGUCUCUGGGCCGUAACUGACGCUGGAGGAGCGAAAGCUAGGGGAGCAAACGGG
This 256-nucleotide ribosomal RNA is filed under the name uncultured bacterium. Its description in RNAcentral is "partial 16S ribosomal RNA". It matches the Rfam family "Bacterial small subunit ribosomal RNA", at positions 524 to 776 of the family's 1533-position model. The record is from RNAcentral.